GAUGAACGCUGGCGGCGUGCCUAAUACAUGCAAGUCGAGCGAACAGACGAGGAGCUUGCUCCUCUGACGUUAGCGGCGGACGGGUGAGUAACACGUGGAUAACCUACCUAUAAGACUGGGAUAACUUCGGGAAACCGGAGCUAAUACCGGAUAAUAUAUUGAACCGCAUGGUUCAAUAGUGAAAGACGGUUUUGCUGUCACCUAUAGAUGGAUCCGCGCCGCAUUAGCUAGUUGGUAAGGUAACGGCUUACCAAGGCAACGAUGCGUAGCCGACCUGAGAGGGUGAUCGGCCACACUGGAACUGAGACACGGUCCAGACUCCUACGGGAGGCAGCAGUAGGGAAUCUUCCGCAAUGGGCGAAAGCCUGACGGAGCAACGCCGCGUGAGUGAUGAAGGUCUUCGGAUCGUAAAACUCUGCUAUUAGGGAAGAACAAAUGUGUAAGUAACUAUGCACAUCUUGACGGUACCUAAUCAGAAAGCCACGGCUAACUACGUG
This 497-nucleotide ribosomal RNA is filed under the name uncultured bacterium. RNAcentral describes it as "partial 16S ribosomal RNA". It matches the Rfam family "Bacterial small subunit ribosomal RNA", at positions 28 to 507 of the family's 1533-position model. The record is from RNAcentral.